GGUACGGUCGGAUAGUGGUUAUUCCGGCGGUUUACUACGAGAGCUUGCCUCUGUUGUCUGCCACUGCCCCUCGGGCUCCAGGGUUCAAAUCCCUGUCGUACCU
This is a non-coding RNA of Rhodotorula graminis WP1, 103 nucleotides long. The record is from the annotation of a RefSeq genome assembly. NCBI's taxonomy places the organism in Eukaryota, Fungi, Basidiomycota, Microbotryomycetes, Sporidiobolales, Sporidiobolaceae.